UACGUAGGGACCGAGCGUUGUCCGGAAUCAUUGGGCGUAAAGAGCGUGUAGGCGGCUAUUUAAGUCCUGCGUGAAAUCCUGCGGCUCAACCGCAGACGGUCGUGGGAAACUGGAUGGCUAGAGUGCGGGAGAGGAGAGUGGAAUUCCCGGUGUAGCGGUGAAAUGCGCAGAUAUCAGGAGGAACACCGAUGGCGAAGGCAGGUCUCUGGGCUGACACUGACGCUCAUGCACGAAAGCGUGGGGAGCAAACAGG
This 253-nucleotide ribosomal RNA is filed under the name uncultured bacterium. RNAcentral describes it as "partial 16S ribosomal RNA". It matches the Rfam family "Bacterial small subunit ribosomal RNA", at positions 524 to 776 of the family's 1533-position model. The record is from RNAcentral.